Molecule: ribosomal RNA, 495 nt
Filed under: uncultured bacterium
Lineage: Bacteria
Description: partial 16S ribosomal RNA
Rfam family: Bacterial small subunit ribosomal RNA
Source: RNAcentral
GAUGAACGCUGGCGGCGUGCCUAAUACAUGCAAGUCGAGCGAACAGACGAGGAGCUUGCUCCUCUGACGUUAGCGGCGGACGGGUGAGUAACACGUGGAUAACCUACCUAUAAGACUGGGAUAACUUCGGGAAACCGGAGCUAAUACCGGAUAAUAUAUUGAACCGCAUGGUUCAAUAGUGAAAGACGGUUUUGCUGUCACUUAUAGAUGGAUCCGCGCCGCAUUAGCUAGUUGGUAAGGUAACGGCUUACCAAGGCAACGAUGCGUAGCCGACCUGAGAGGGUGAUCGGCCACACUGGAACUGAGACACGGUCCAGACUCCUACGGGAGGCAGCAGUAGGGAAUCUUCCGCAAUGGGCGAAAGCCUGACGGAGCAACGCCGCGUGAGUGAUGAAGGUCUUCGGAUCGUAAAACUCUGUUAUUAGGGAAGAACAAAUGUGUAAGUAACUAUGCACGUCUUGACGGUACCUAACCAGAAAGCCACGGCUAACUACG